AUUUUUUUUUUCUUUGUUGGUGUUGUGUACUCAGGUGAAUAAUAUGUUUGCGAUGUUACUCUGAGUGCAUAUCCACACCGGGCGAGCUUGAAAAAUAUGCCCGGCCACGGUGGGAUUCGAACCUACGACCUUUGGAAUACUAGCCCAAUGCUCUUCCAACUGAGCUACGCGGUCAGGACGGUUCGAGUAAGUGAUAUUUCGGAACAGUAUCUAGUUCCUUCAAUACCAAUGUGUUCUAGUAAUAUGAAUUUUUUUUUCUUUGUUGGUGUUGUGUACUCAGGUGAAUAAUAUGUUUGCGAUGUUACUCUGAGUGCAUAUCCACACCGGGCGAGCUUGAAAAGUAUGCCCGGCCACGGUGGGAUUCGAACCUACGACCUUUGGA
Paramuricea clavata is the source of this 382-nucleotide non-coding RNA. Lineage: Eukaryota; Metazoa; Cnidaria; Anthozoa; Malacalcyonacea; Plexauridae. The record is from the annotation of a GenBank genome assembly.